GGGUUCUAGUAGUGAGCUGCGUUAGGGGUUACAACCCAAUCCAAAGUUGAUCUAAGAUAAAUGAGACCGCAACAGCCGCAGCCUCUGAGGUACUGGUAAGGAAUUGAAAUUUGCAAUGCAUUGGGAACUAAAGGUGACGCUUGACUGAAAAUAGCGAUGGAUCAUGCUGCGACUUGCACAGCGGCCACCUCCCAUGGAAGAUUGUUGAUCCCCUCACCCACCAUGGCGAGCAUUGCAUCAUCCAGCUCGUCGGCUUUGUCAUUGUUGAUGUUGAAAAUCUCAGUCAACGUGGCGAUG
This 297-nucleotide long non-coding RNA is filed under the name Setaria italica (foxtail millet). RNAcentral describes it as "long non-coding RNA (SITA_LNC005835)". Lineage: Eukaryota; Viridiplantae; Streptophyta; Magnoliopsida; Poales; Poaceae. The record is from RNAcentral.